UGGGGAAUAUUGGACAAUGGGCGCAAGCCUGAUCCAGCCAUGCCGCGCGAGUGAUGAAGGCCCUAGGGUUGUAAAGCUCUUUCACCGGUGAAGAUAAUGACGGUAACCGGAGAAGAAGCCUCGGCUAACUUCGUGCCAGCAGCCGCGGUAAUACGAAGGGGGCUAGCGUUGUUCGGAUUUACUGGGCGUAAAGCGCACGUAGGCGGACUAUUAAGUCAGGGGUGAAAUCCCGGGGCUCAACCCCGGAACUGCCUUUGAUACUGGUAGUCUUGAGUUCGAGAGAGGUGAGUGGAAUUCCGAGUGUAGAGGUGAAAUUCGUAGAUAUUCGGGGGAACACCAGUGGCGAAGGCUGCUCACUGGCUCGAUACUGACGCUGAGGUGCGAAAGCGUGGGGAGCAAACAGG
This 404-nucleotide ribosomal RNA is filed under the name Actinomycetes bacterium. Its description in RNAcentral is "Actinobacteria bacterium partial 16S ribosomal RNA". It matches the Rfam family "Bacterial small subunit ribosomal RNA", at positions 355 to 776 of the family's 1533-position model. The record is from RNAcentral. Lineage: Bacteria; Bacillati; Actinomycetota; Actinomycetes.